RNAcentral lists this ribosomal RNA (477 nucleotides) under uncultured bacterium. RNAcentral describes it as "partial 16S ribosomal RNA". It matches the Rfam family "Bacterial small subunit ribosomal RNA", at positions 30 to 507 of the family's 1533-position model. The record is from RNAcentral.
AUUGAACGCUGGCGGCAUGCCUUACACAUGCCAGUCGAACGGUAACAGGUUAAGCUGCCGAGUGGCGAACGGGUGAGUAAUGUAUCGGAACGUGCCCAGUCGUGGGGGAUAACUGCUCGAAAGAGCAGCUAAUACCGCAUACGACCUGAGGGUGAAAGCGGGGGAUCGCAAGACCUCGCGCGAUUGGAGCGGCCGAUAUCAGAUUAGGUAGUUGGUGAGGUAAAGGCUCACCAAGCCGACGAUCUGUAGCUGGUCUGAGAGGACGACCAGCCACACUGGGACUGAGACACGGCCCAGACUCCUACGGGAGGCAGCAGUGGGGAAUUUUGGACAAUGGGCGCAAGCCUGAUCCAGCCAUGCCGCGUGCGGGAAGAAGGCCUUCGGGUUGUAAACCGCUUUUGUCAGGGAAGAAAAGGUUCUGGCUAAUACCUGGGACUCAUGACGGUACCUGAAGAAUAAGCACCGGCUAACUACGUG